CGGGUGUAGUUCAAUGGUAGAACAUCAGCUUCCCAAGCUGAAUACGAGGGUUCGAUUCCCUCCAUCCG
Molecule: transfer RNA, 68 nt
Filed under: marine eukaryotic metagenome
Rfam family: tRNA
About the family: Transfer RNA (tRNA) molecules are approximately 80 nucleotides in length.
Source: RNAcentral